CCGUGCGAACUGACAGUGGUCAACGGAUGGAUUGCGAGGUGUUUAAAGACUGGAAUAUAGUCUUAAGAGCGGAGUUUAAAACUCUCUUGGUGUCCCGCAAAUGGCCUCCAGGAAGCAGUAUUAAUAUAUGCAUGGUAGGGAGGUAUUCCACCAGAUACGAUAAAUGCAAAUACAAGCAAACGAUUACUGACAAGUUGAAGGCCGGACUGUGCGCAAAGCUCAUGUUCAAUUGGUAGUGGGUUAUUCAAAUAUGGAGUGGUAUACUUGUAUAACUACAGUAAUUACACAACGAAGAAAAAAUUUAUCGUUAUUCCAUAUCGAUAUACCUUUUGUGAAGAUAAUAAGUUGCCUGUUAAAUAAUUAUUUUCAAUAACGAUGAUAUGAAUUUGAACAAUUGAAAUUUUUUAUCGUCGUUAUUAAGGUUCUAUGAGGUGAAUUUUCAAAUUUUUGUACUUUCGUUCAUUUUUGCAAACAUACUCUGAGGUCUCAGGAUACAGUAAUAUCAAUUAUAUUUAUUACAAUACGUACGGAAGGUGAUUUAUUCUUUUUUGAUUUUUUUUUUUUUGCGUCCUUUCGUACAAGUGUAUCAUAUCAGUAAAUGAUGAUUAUUACACGCUGAUAUAUCGAUCGUCAUUUCAAACUUAUCACGGCUUAUAUUCUUAUCAAGGCUUAUAUCUUUGUAUCGAUAAGUUUACACGGUCGCGUGCCAUUUCUAUGUACUUACAGGUAUGUACGUACUGUAUAUGGUUACAUACUCAUACCACGUGUGAUUGUUGUAUAGAUCAUAAAAGUUUAUGCAUCUAUGGUGACGUAUACCUAUACGUGAUAUGGUACUACACCAGAUAUUCCAUCGACUUCGAUCAUGUACGAUCAGAUUUCUUGCAUAUAAUGUUGAAAAACCUGUAGGUAUGCAAAUCGUUUGGAAAAAUUAUUUUUUACAACAUUUUUUCAUAAUAAAAAAAACGUAUUUUAUUAUUUAUUAUAUACUACAAUUAUCAGCCGGACUAACCAGACAAUUCGAAGUGAUCAAAUGAUAUAUUCGAAAAAUAAAAGACAAGAUGCUUCGGAUUAUAAUAAUUAAAAUAAUGCAAUACCAUCGUGACUUAUUGAGAUUGAUUAUCUUUGUCAGAGGUCGCACUUGCUCACUCUCUCUAUACUUUUGCUUUGAUUGAUUUUGAAAAAUUCAAUUUUUUAUUUUUUUUUUCUAUAAUAUCAUACGAGUACAUCUACAACCGAUGUGUUGGUUUUUUUUUUCUGAAUAAUAGUUAUCAAUCACGAGAAUAUUUAUCAAUAUAUCGACUUUACAUGAUUGGGACGCAUACCUAGAAACUUCGAUGUAACCAAAAGAAAAAAAUAAAGUUAUUAAAUAAAAAGACUAAUGCCAAAGUUAAAGUUGCUGCUGCAUCGACUCGUGUAGUCGGUUUUGUUGUUAUUAUAUGAGUUUCUGUUUGUUCAAAUUCACUUCAACUUUUUGUCCGACGACUACUUAGUUCCUUAAUGCAUUAAUCAUCGUGGAAAUUUUUACGUUGAUAUUUCAACUAGGAUACGAUAUUGCGUUUAUACAAUCUCAGCAGCGCAUUGAACAAUAUUGCAAUUGAUAUUUGUGAUAAGUAACUUUACCGAUUCGAAUAUUCGACUAUUACCACAAUUCACAUAAAAACAUAAAUUGCUAAUACGUCUGGUACAUACAUGUAUGUACAUAGGAGUUUAAACAUGCUAGGUUUUGAAAUAAUUGACAAUUUUAAUUGAACAAAUUGAUUCACAUCUGUGUAUACAAUAUGGCUUCUUUUUGCGUAGCGAUAGUUAGUUAUGUAACAUACUGCUCUACAGAACAAAGUCCUUAUUACCCGUACGCACAUUUCAAACGAAGAUUGGAAAGAAUUCGUUUUUUAUUCAAUCAAUAUUUAUUUAUUUAUUUAUUUAUUUAUCUUCGUUAUUUCUUGUUUUUUUUUUUUCGUGGUUCACACGAUUUCACCCCAUCCUUUUUUUUUUGCCACUCAAAUAUCAUGUUCAAGGUAUGUUUUUCCCAAGUGCAAUCUUACUAUUCAGAUGUUUAUUCUCUUAUUCGUUUCCUGUUUUUACCAGUACAUCCAUUAUUUUAUACCGUGUUUUUUAAUUACAGGUACAUUACUUCCAGGGUGAUUCAGGAACAAUUUUCUUUGACUUCCUGAUAUGUGGAGCGUACAUUAUUAAUGAUUACAACGUUUCGUUAUAAUAAUUAUUUGCUCAUUAUUAUGAAUGUUGUUUGAUUUAUUUAUUCAUUUAUUCAUUCAUUUUUACAAAGUCUUACGCGUUAAAAGCUGUUGACCUCAACUCUGGAACACGUGUCCAUGCAUUAUGUGUAUACCUAUAUCGCGUCCUACUAUUGGAAACUCGAACUUCUGUAAGGAUUAACUUCUCUUAUAGUUACGUAUACCUACGACUUACCUUAUAGUAUUAUUAUAGAUCGUUGAAACGGAAUGGAUAAAUCUUGCCUUGGAUUUUAUAAUUAUGUACACAGAUGGCAUGAAUGGAUGAUUAUUUAAUUAACAAUGCGUGAAAUUAAACUAAUUUUAAAAAUUGUUUGUUUAAUACGGAACGAUUGCUCGGAGAUUAUGAUUUCAAAUUACCUAUUUUAUAAUCAAUUAACGAUACGUGAAAUUGAACUAAUUUUUUGAAUUGUGUAUCGAAGAUGUAACGAUUGCCAGGCGAUCAUAUGAUUGUGAAUUGGCAAUUUUAUCAUAUAAUAUUGAUAAUUUUCCGUUUUCAUUUAUUCAUCUUUUUACCGUAUCGUAUACCCACUGCGAGAGCAGAAGGCGAAGUAGGAUAAAAUCAUAAUCCGAAGUUCUAUGCAGGAUUGAAGAUCUUUAACAUUAUCUCGUGUACUGAUACGUGUAUGUCCAAAAUGCAGAUACUAUUAGUCAAAAAAGAAGUACUGAUUAUGAGUUUUCGGUGGGUUGGUGUUGGGCUUAUCCGAAAUUUUAAGCACUUGGGAUUAUUAAAUCCAAAUCCUUGUAAAUUUUCUAUAGUCAGUUCUUAUUAUCUGGAUAAUAUUUGAUUCAAAUCGAUUGCACGAUCAUCACAUAGUUCGCCGAUGACCGCGACUUUGCUAUACGCAAUUCAAUUUUUUAUUAACCCGAUAAAUGAACUUGUGACAUUAACUGUGAUAUCCUCUUUCGAUAAUAUUGAUAGAUACAACAUGAGUGUAUACUUGCGUGAUAGAUUUAAUCUACAAUUUCUUUAUUGUCUUUAUCUUCAAAAAAGUAUAACGUGAUAACAUGAAUCGUAGUCAUAAAAAUAUUGUAAGACACACGCGUAUAUGCCACCAAUAAACCGUAAUUACCGUCACUUACAUCAAACCUAUGCAAAUCUUUCAUAACAUCACGCGGGAAAUUUGCGGUGAAAAAAAUUCUAUUUUAAGAAAUCGUGUUUACAAACAAAUAUUUUAACUAGAUCUAUAUGGGGAUACCUACUGUGUAUCUCCUAUAUGUAUUUACACCCCAGUGCUAUGCGAUAUGCUUAUCAUCGCUAAAGAAAAUUCGUUGGAAAAAAAUUUUAUUUUAUACUCGGAUUUGAGUAUGAGAAGAAAGAGAAAAAGCAGUACGAUUUUAAACGUUCAGACGCGACUCCGCGUUAUUUCUGUAUUUCUAUCAAAGAUGAAAUUGAGAUAGGCGAUUGAAUAGUGAAGCUAUAGAGAUAAAUGAAGAAAAAAUCAUUAUUGAUUUAUAAAAUCUCUGCGGUAUUUCAACGAACAAAAAGAAAUAAAUAAAGAAAUAAAUGAAUUCAGUUAAUAAAAUUAAAUAAAAUAAACAUAUUCUAAAAAACUAAUCCAAUAGUCGAUAAAUAAUUCUUCGAUUUGUUGACUCAAUACUUGAGAUGUUUAUUUUCCAGUAAGCGCAAUUUCCUACUCGAUCGAAUUUUUCUCUUUCACAUGUUAUCUUGAAUAAGUAGAGAAAAAAAGGGAAGGAAAAAACCAAAUUGAAAUAAAAGAAUUCGUAAAUGAUGAGCUGUUCGAUGAUACGUACAGACGAUAAGCGCGAUCUAACAUUAUUGAUUCUGCGCUGUACUUUUAGUAAAAAAUAUUUUUUUUUAACAAAGAAUUCAAAAAAAAGUUUGCUGGCGAAAAGUGAAGAAUAUAAUCAGCCGCAAUCAUUUCGUUCUUAUUGAUCGAGAUUAUAUAACAUUACACGGUGUCUUUUGAUCGAGAAAACAAUUAUAUCGAUCAGGGCAUUCGACGACGAUUAUAUUCUAUCCAUCGAUGUCCAAGGUUUCAAAGAUAUAUUAAUAUAUUUUCACACCUUGCUUAUUACGUAUAGCGACGAACCUGGUUUGCCAUAUUUUCACUAUAUCUUAAUAUAUGUAUAACACAAACGCUUGAUAUAUUCUUCUCUUCCUUGCCCCCCACCCCUCACUUCGAUUAUUUAAUAUUCAAGUUAUAAAUAUAAUCAAAAUCAUGUACAAAUUAUAUACCAAUGUAGCAAAUCAUAUACCUAAUUUCAAAUUUCCUAUCCAUAAUAUUUCUUCACUAGUCGAAUGUUGUAAUCGAGCAAUAACGAUCUACAUAAAUGUAUUUAUACGUAUGUACAUACGUGUAACAUAUAGGUAUAGUGAUCAUAUAUACUCUGUUCGGAAUGCAAAACCGCAUUCUAACUACAUAUGAAUACGUCGUUCAUGCUGCAGCUCAUUGCGUUUUAAAUUAUUUAGAGUGGAAUUAGAACUGACACAGAUAUCGACGUCGUUGCAAUAUAAGAUAAAAUAUAUUAUAAUCCACGUACGGAUUACAUUCACCUGUACUACCUAUACGUAUAAUAAUAUCAAAGUAAAUGAUCAAAUCAAAAUGAUUGAUGAUCGAAAACAUGUGAUAAUAAUGAUAUGCUAAUGGUUGUUGAUGAAAAAUGAUAAAAAUUUGAGUGUUCGAGAUUUUAUUUUAUUGUAUUUGUCAUUAUUAUCAACAUUAUUACUAUUGUUACUGUUAUUUUGUAAAACGUCGAGACGCGCAAAAAACAUUUCGUUGUCGUAGGUGUAAAUUAUUUGAACUGUAUACGAGAAACGUCGGCUAUUUCAUUACCUUUUUAUCAAGAUGUGAAUAAUAUUGUUUUAUAUUUCUAUACGUUACAUAUCUACGUGUACGAACGAUUUCUCACACCUGUGCAUCUGUCGGACAUUUUACGUCAAAUCAACCACAUACCUACACUGCGCUCGCACCAAUUGAAGGAUCGCUCGAAUUUGGUCGUAAUAAAGACCUAUUUUCAAACGAGUGUAACUUCGUCGAGAAUGAACGGAUCGCGAUGAAAAAAAUGCGUUUUGAAGCUUGAAUCUUUGACUUUGAAACUGUCAUCCGGAAUUUGAAUUUUGCGCAGUUUUUUUCUGCAGUUUUACAGCUUUGCAGCGAUGAAUGCAGCAAUUUUGCGUUCUCCUUCUUUUCUUCUACCAUAUGUGCACCUUGCGUCGAAACAAUUGCGCAAAAAUGGCGUCGUAAUGGUUUUGUAGCUUGAAAAUUCCCUUUAGAAAUGCGCAAUUUUCAUCAUCAUGCGAUUCGAAAAUUAGUGGCACUUUUUUACAGGUACCUCGGUGCUCGUGCGGCGAUAUUCAUCUGAAAUAUUUUGUUGCCUUCUCGAAUUCGAAUGAAUCGCCCAAUUGUAUCCUGCCGGAUAACACUUUUUUGAUGACCGUACAAGACCACUUAAGUCACGUCGAUUAUUAGGCGAUUGAUCUACACGCUCACCGACUUGCAAAGAUCCGUAAUUUUUUUGUUACUCGUUUUGAAAAAUUCGUACAUAAGGAUACAAAACAGGCAUUUCAAAUACAGAGAUGACGAAAUGAUGAUAAAAUUUUGCAUUCGUCUGGCAACGUUUUGCAAUUUCAGCUACGUACAUUACACAAAGAGAUCUAUUUAAAUUUUUCCUUAAGUUUAUUUUUAGAACUUCAAAUUAAAGGGUACAAAGAACUGGUACGAGACUAAUAAAAUCAUCAAUUCAUCUCGUCUUAUACCGCGACAGAAUGUGAUAACGGUAAUUGUUGCAUGCAUGUUAAAAACUUAAUAUAAAUCAUUUAGUUUUGUGACUCUUGUCACGCCUACUCGUAGUACAUAACUUCAUAUUGUUUGUCGAUAGAACCGUACAAUUACUAGAAUAAUAUUUCGAUAUUUUAAAACAAUUGUACCAACAGUAAUGAUGACGACGAUUGUGGCUAUAUCAUGAUUUACCGCAGAACAAAAAAACGAAAAAAAAAAUAAAUGUAAUAGUAUGUGUAGUAAUUAAAAUAAUCGGUAAUUUGUAUAACUAAACCGUGCAAAGGUAUAAUGGGAUACGGGAGGAAGAAUGGAACAAGACGAAGUAGACUAGAAUAAUAAUUGUUCUCACAAUAUUGACGUGAACCAGAAUAUUUGGUAAUAUGUUAGGUAUAUUUUGUUCUCUAUUCGUUUCAGGUACGUUCAAUGAGUGGGAUCUCUAUUAUCUUAAAUGUAACGUAAUGAGCCAGCGCGCCUAAUGGAGUUGUUUGGAGGCAAAAAAAGAAUUCUCCGAUAUACUCAUUUGGGCAAAGGAAUAGAAAAUACGACAAAAAAAGAAAAAAAAAAAGAAACAGUAUUAUCGAACAACUUUAAAUUUGCAUCCGCUUAUGGAACGUUGAUAUCGAUGGAAGAAAAAAAAACUGAGAACUAUAUACGUACGUUACAGCAACAAUGUAUUCGUAGAUCAAAGGCUGCCGGAUGCCGAUGAAGAAGGAGAUGAAUUGGACGCCACCUUGACUCGAAGUAUGAAAUGAGACGUAUAUUCUGCAUUGUGAGGUUUUCGACUUAUAAAUAGAAUGACCUCUAAGGACCGAUUAUUAUUAUUGAUAUUAUUAUUAUCGAUUAAUAUUCCGGAAGUCGAGAGACGACCCAGUUUCCGUUUAUAAUUAUUCAAGUACGAAAUACCCUUCCGCAAUUUCACGCUCAUGUAUGGGUGGCUAUACGUAAAUCUUGUUUAUCAUUUUUUUAACUGCUUUUUCCUUCUUCUCAAAAGACCGAAGACAUCGAAGGUCGUUCUUGCGCUGUCUGGAGAGAUCAUUUAUCCGUUCGAUUUAACCGGAAAUGACCCUCAGAAUUGAGGUACAACCGGCACAACAUUCGGAAGAGUAAACAAUAUAAAUAAAAUAAUUAAAGCAAAUACUACCUGUGAUAUGCAAAUUUUAUAAGCGAUGAGACAUUUGUUUUUUCCUACAUCAAAGUUUGAUUUGAAUACAAUUAAUUAGAUAUAGUCUCAGAUUCUUGACAAUAAGGGGCAAGAUCUUACUUGUCAUUGUUGUUACUCAUUAAUUAUAUUUAAUUAUUUCUCCUCUGGUCAACUACCGGAGAUCAUGAAUGAGGUGAAUUUAAUUCUUUCAUGGGAUUCCAACGUUCGUAUGUCCCUGGAAAAUCACUUGGCGUAACCAUGAUUGUUGUAAUUAUUGUCAUCAUUAUUCUAGUUAUUAUUAUAAUGUUUUUUUUUCUUCAUCUUACAAGAUACAAGUUCUUAUAUGGUUGGAAUCUGGAUGCUAUUGUAACAAAUGUAGGUAAUUAAUUAAUAUGCAAAGUGGCGAUGUCACAUUUACUAUACAGAUGGUAUAGGUACGUACCAAGAGAUCAAGCCUUGACUGUGUAGUUGUAGGCAUUCAUAGGUAUUAAAACUCUGUGUCUCUAGUAUGCGUUAAGAUAUUCUCUUUCAUGCGUAUAUAAAUGCAUGCCUAUAUUCUCACUUUUGACACUGACCUACUUUUUUUCUGGAAAAAUUAAUUCUCGAAGGGUCGCGUUCAUAGAUAUUGAUAAAAAUUUAACACAACAAAAAACAAACAAAUAGGACAAAAACGAAUGAAGAAUAGGUUUGCAGCUUAUAAUCAUUGAGUUUAGCUGUUGAUUAAGUAAGAUGGCAAAAAAUGAAUUCAUUUAUCACCUAUUCGUCGAAUCUUUACGAUAUAAUGUACGUAUCUUUACAUAUUUUAACCAUAGCAGGUUUACUCUUGUUACCGAUCUCUGUUAUAGGGGCUAUUACUGCAGUGACCUCAAAUCUUAAACACGUUUCUCUUAUUAUACAGCCGUCCUCUGAGAGCAGUUUGUAAAGUCGUCGACAGCUUGCUCGCUCGUUUAACUUUAUGAAUAAAUCCGUCUAAUCUAC
Molecule: long non-coding RNA, 8111 nt
Organism: Athalia rosae (coleseed sawfly)
Lineage: Eukaryota; Metazoa; Arthropoda; Insecta; Hymenoptera; Athaliidae
Exons: 3
Source: RefSeq, a predicted model, not a curated record